RNAcentral lists this ribosomal RNA (278 nucleotides) under Pseudoalteromonas shioyasakiensis. Its description in RNAcentral is "partial 23S ribosomal RNA". It matches the Rfam family "Bacterial large subunit ribosomal RNA", at positions 1396 to 1677 of the family's 2925-position model. The record is from RNAcentral. Lineage: Bacteria; Pseudomonadati; Pseudomonadota; Gammaproteobacteria; Alteromonadales; Pseudoalteromonadaceae.
GCGAGGCCGAAAGGCGUAGUCGAUGGGAAACGGGUUAAUAUUCCCGUACUUGGUAUAAUUGCGAUGGGGGGACGGAGCAGGCUAAACAAGCAUGGCGUUGGUUGUCCAUGUGAAAGUGAGUAGGUUGAGAGUUUAGGAAAAUCCGGACUCUUAAGACUGAGACACGAGACGAGCACCCAAGGGUGUGAAGUUGUUGAUGCCAUACUUCCAGGAAAAGCCUCUAAGCUUCAGAUUAUACCGAAUCGUACCCCAAACCGACACAGGUGGUCAGGUAGAGA